UAGUCAUAUGCUUGUCUCAAAGACUAAGCCAUGCAUGUGUAAGUAUAAGUGUUAUACGGCGAGACUGCGAAUGGCUCAUUAAAACAGUUAUAGUUUAUUUGACAAUUGAAACUACAUGGAUAACCGUGGCAAUUCUAGAGCUAAUACAUGCUUGAAAGCCGGACUCACGGACGGCUGAGUUUAUUAGAUACAACCAACCCUCGGGUUGCGUGGACUCAUAGUAACUGAUCGGAUCGCUUUUGCGAUGAGUCAUUCAAGUUUCUGCCCUAUCAGCUCUCGAUGGUAGUGUAUUGGACUACCAUGGCAGUCACGGGUAACGGAGAAUUAGGGUUCGGUUCCGGAGAGGGAGCCUGAGAAACGGCUACCACAUCUAAGGAAGGCAGCAGGCGCGUAAAUUACCCAAUCCUGACUCAGGGAGGUAGUGACAAGAAAUAACAACCCGGGGCAAUAGCUACUGGGAUUGCAAUGAUCGUAAUCUAAAGCAAUUAGAAAGAAACCAUUGGAGGGCAAGUCUGGUGCCAGCAGCCGCGGUAAUUCCAGCUCCAAUAGCGUAUAUUAAAGUUGUUGCAGUUAAAAAGCCCGUAGUUCAAUUUCUGUCCCGGGAACUAGAGGCGACUCGAAGGCCCCGGGGCAUCCGUCGGCACCACGCUCCGGCGUGAGGGCAGACAGUUUACCUUGAGAAAAUUAGAGUGUUCAAGGCAGGCGUAGCCGGAAUACAUUAGCAUGGAAUAAUGGAAGAGGACUCCAAGCCGUUGUUGGUUGGGUAAGGAGUAAUGAUGAAUAGGGACAGUCGGGGGCAUUAGUAUUUAAUUGUCAGUGGUGAAAUUCUUGGAUUCAUUAAAGACUGACUACUGCGAAAGCAUUUGCCAAGGAUGUUUUCAUUGAUCAAGAACGAAAGUUAGGGGAUCAAAGACGAUCAGAUACCGUCCAAGUCUUAACCAUAAACCAUACCGACUCGGAUUCAGCCGGGAACAAUCCCGGCUGGGACCGUACGAGAAAUCAAAGUCUUUGGGUUCUGGGGGGAGUAUGGU
RNAcentral lists this ribosomal RNA (1031 nucleotides) under uncultured eukaryote. RNAcentral describes it as "bacterial SSU rRNA". It matches the Rfam family "Eukaryotic small subunit ribosomal RNA", at positions 21 to 1129 of the family's 1831-position model. The record is from RNAcentral.